GCGAUAAUUACAAUUUUACCAUUGCAUCCCAAAAAUCCACAUUAGAAAACCCCUCUUCAGCCGAAAUCAGAAACCCUAGUUUUCACAAUAAAUUGAAAUCGGGGCGGUGCUGGAGAAGAAGAAGAAGAACAAAGCAAGAGAAUCAUGGCGGAGCAUUUGGCUUCUAUAUUUGGUACAGAGAAAGACAGGGUGAAUUGCCCUUUCUACUUUAAGAUCGGUGCGUGUCGGCAUGGUGACCGCUGUUCCAGGCUUCACACAAAGCCUAGCAUCAGUCCGACCUUAGUUCUGUCUAACAUGUACCAGCGUCCUGAUAUGAUCACCCCUGGUGUUGACCCUCAAGGCCAGCCCCUUGACCCUCGCCAGAUCCAGCGCCACUUCGAUAUAUAUAUAUAUAUAUAUGUGUGUAUAUGUAUGUGUUUAUAUGGAUCUAUCUAUGGCGAAGCCAGGAUUUUUAAUUUAUGGUUUCUGAGCGUGAGUAGGAAGGUGGAAGCACAAAAACUAACUCAGAUACGAAGAAAUUGAAGAUUUAGUUACGAUUAGAAAUCAUUCAAUUGUUAUUUAAUUUAAAAUUUUAGAAUGAUGGAAUUGCUAGAUUGUGCAAGCCGAAUUGCUUUUAUCUGUUGCCUAUGGUUGUGGAUGAGUAAGUUGGAAGCACAAAAGCUAGCUCAGGCACUGCUAUCAUUAAAAAAAACAUAUACUUGUGUAUGUGUGAUAUCAGUAGGUUGGAAGCCCCAAAGCUAGCUCAGACACUGCUAUCAUUACAUAAAACAUAUACUUGUGCGUGAACGAUACAGUGUUCCUUCUGCUUCUGUAUGUAUAUAUGGAUUGGGUGAAUACUUGUUUAUUUUUGUUUUUAUGGAUUGACUGUCUAAAGAAGUGCUAUUAUCUGUUGGGUUACUACAUGAUUAUCAGAGUCUUUGGUUACUGGAAUAGAACUUCAAACACUAAUAAACAAAGAAAAGUUGAAGUUUCAAACUAGUUAUCAUGAAGAAAUUUUGUUUUUGAUUAUUGGCUAAUUUUGCUAGGUGCUGUUCUAUUGUCCACUGGGAGGUUGGGAGCAACGUUUUUGUGAAACUAAAGAAAGUUAACUCAUAACUGUGUUGCAUGUUGUGUAGUAUGCACAAGUUUAGCAUUGUCAUUGAAUGGGUUUUACGGAUUUGUUAAAAGUGAACUUGGUGUUGAGACCUCCACGAGGUAGGGGUAAGGUCUUGCGUACACUCUACCCUCCCCAAACCCCACUUGUGGGAUUUCACCGGGAAUACUGUUGUUGUUGAACUUGGUUUUGAGAGCUCGUAUACAGACCGUAGCAUUUUCUGUUUCCAUCUGCUGUAAGAACUUAAAACAAUGAAAAAGCAAAACAGUGUGUUGUUGAAAACGUUAAGCUCUUUUCUUACGUUUGUGUGCUGAUGGGGUUUUGGUGCUGUGAUGUAAUUGCAUGUUUUAAUGGAAUUCGUGUCAAUUUUUAUUCAAAAGACUGUAGUCCUCGUUUUUAGCUUCUGUUUUCUGGCUGUGGUGUCAUCUUUGAGGAAAUCUGAGGUUUGUUUUAUGUAUAGGUAAUUUGUUUAGGUCUGCUUACAUCCUACCUUCACUAGACUCCACUUGUGGGAUUACACUCGGUUCAUUGUUGUUGUUGUUGUUGUUGUAAGUUUCUAAUAGGGAUCCUGUCCUAGUAAAAGUAGGUUGAUUUAUUAUCCUGUGUUUCCUCUGAUUUCGUGGGUAUGAAAUAUGUGUGAUCACCAUUGAACAUGCAGGACUUCUAUGAAGAUUUGUUUGAAGAGCUUAGCAAGUAUGGAG
Molecule: long non-coding RNA, 1794 nt
Filed under: Solanum tuberosum (potato)
Lineage: Eukaryota; Viridiplantae; Streptophyta; Magnoliopsida; Solanales; Solanaceae
Description: long non-coding RNA (STUB_LNC010275)
Source: RNAcentral